UACGUAGGGUGCAAGCGUUGUCCGGAAUUAUUGGGCGUAAAGAGCUCGUAGGCGGCUUGUCGCGUCUGCUGUGAAAACUCGGGGCUUAACCCCGGGCCUGCAGUGGGUACGGGCAGACUAGAGUGCGGUAGGGGAGACUGGAAUUCCUGGUGUAGCGGUGAAAUGCGCAGAUAUCAGGAGGAACACCGGUGGCGAAGGCGGGUCUCUGGGCCGUAACUGACGCUGAGGAGCGAAAGCGUGGGGAGCGAACAGG
RNAcentral lists this ribosomal RNA (253 nucleotides) under uncultured bacterium. Its description in RNAcentral is "partial 16S ribosomal RNA". It matches the Rfam family "Bacterial small subunit ribosomal RNA", at positions 524 to 776 of the family's 1533-position model. The record is from RNAcentral.